GUGUCAGCCGCCGCGGUAAAACGUAGGACGCGAGCGUUAUCCGGAUUUACUGGGCGUAAAGCGCGUGCAGGCGGCCUGUUAAGUCGUGCGUGAAAGCUCCCUGGCUCAACCGGGAGAGGUCGUACGAAACUGGCGGGCUAGAGGGCAGUAGAGGCGCGUGGAAUUCCGGGUGUAGUGGUGAAAUGCGUAGAUAUCCGGAGGAACACCAGUGGCGAAGGCGGCGCGCUGGGCUGUACCUGACGAUAAGACGCGAAAGCAUGGGGAGCGAACGGGAUUAGAAACCCCGGUAGGCCUGGCCGUAAACGAUGUCGACUAGGUGUUGGGGCGGAGAGCUUCAGCGCCGGAGCGAACGCGAUAAGUCGACCGCCUGGGGAGUACGGCCGCAAGGCUGAAACUUAAAUGAAUUGACGGGG
This 413-nucleotide ribosomal RNA is filed under the name uncultured prokaryote. RNAcentral's name for it is "bacterial SSU rRNA". It matches the Rfam family "Bacterial small subunit ribosomal RNA", at positions 505 to 918 of the family's 1533-position model. The record is from RNAcentral.